Molecule: ribosomal RNA, 530 nt
Filed under: uncultured beta proteobacterium
Lineage: Bacteria; Pseudomonadati; Pseudomonadota; Betaproteobacteria
Description: partial 16S ribosomal RNA
Source: RNAcentral
UCCAGGCGGNAACUUCACGCGUUAGCUGCGGUACUGANUGGUUUUACCCACCCAACACCUAGUUGACAUCGUUUAGGGCGUGGACUACCAGGGUAUCUAAUCCUGUUUGCUACCCACGCUUUCGUGCAUGAGCGUCAGUAUNGGCCCAGGGGGCCGCCUUCGCCAGUGGUGUUCCUCCANAUCUCUACGCAUUUCACUGCUACACGGGGAAUUCCACCCCCCUCUGCCACACUCUAGCCUUGCAGUCACAAGCGCAUUUCCCAGGUUGAGCCCGGGGAUUUCACGUCUGUCUUACAAAACCGCCUGCGCGCGCUUUACGCCCAGUAAUUCCGAAAAACGCUCGCACCCUACGUAUUACCGCGGCUGCUGGCACGUAGUUAGCCGGUGCUUCUUAUGGGGGUACCGUCAUCCACACNGGGUAUUAACCNAUACGAUUUCUUCCCGGCCAAAAGAGCUUUACAACCCGAAGGCCUUCUUCACUCACGCGGGAUGGGUGGAUCAGGGUUGCCCCCAUUGUCAAAAAUUCCCCA